Non-coding RNA from Vicugna pacos (alpaca), 1015 nucleotides. NCBI's taxonomy places the organism in Eukaryota, Metazoa, Chordata, Mammalia, Artiodactyla, Camelidae. The record is from RefSeq and is a predicted model, not a curated record.
AGCCCCGCCCCCUCCCUAGGGACGUGGUCGCCGGGGAGACCGGCGCUCGGGUUCCCAUGACAACCAGUGCCUUGGGCCUGGCUUUUCGCGUUCUUCUAGUUUGCCAGACGCUCAAGUUGAUGGCCCGGCAGCAAAGUUCCUAGUCCCUGUGGCGUGGACUCGUAAUUUUAGGCCAAGUUGAAAAUGCAGCCGACCGCCCCCACACUUCCAACUUCGGAGACAGAACGUUCUGGCCCUGGGGAGUGUGAGGAAGAGUGAAAAAUGCCUAACUGCUUGCUCUUCCCUUGUCAGUCUAAAUAGCCCCUCCCCCCUCCGCCCUCCCUUGCCUCCAGCCUUGUUUCCAUAUUCUCACCGGGCGGAUUUCGGCUUUGGAAGGGUGAGGAGAAGAAGAAUGAGAAAGAGCAGGGCAGAGCAACCUCCCCACAGCAAUGUAGCAACUUGGAAAUGGCGGGGUCAACGGAAACAGCUCGGGAAUUACAGAUUUUAAUGGUAAUGACAUGCUCAAUGCUACUUUUGUGAAGAGAGGAAAACACCCAUGUGGCCCACUUCUGCAAUUCAUCUACACCUUGAAAUGUCUCAGCAUAUCUUUUGGCUUGACAGACUUGGGGUCUGGAGGCCAAGCCAAGGAAGCCACUUCUCCUUUUUCCUGCCAGAGCAGCCAAACGUGGGUUCAUGCUUAAUGGCUCUUUCAAGUGAAAAUCACCCUCCGGUUCGCUUUGUGUGCCCAGCUACGGGGGUCACAUACUAUGCUCUCUGACUAGUAUUGUUAAAACCCCUUUCAUAAACGUGCAGUUAAGGACAAGCACCUCUCCAUCCUUCUGAGUUCUCUUUGGUGAUGAUGGGGAGUGGACAUACAGUCUCUCUAAGUAAAUCCCUCUCUCAAAUCUUUAUUCUAUUUCAUCGACUUUAAGAGACCAUCUAUAUUAGUUAUCUGUUGCUGCAUAACAAGUUAUUCCCCCAAUUAGCAGUUUCAAGCAACAGACAUUUAUUAACACACACAGUGUCUAAGGGUCAG